This is a non-coding RNA of Firmicutes bacterium M10-2, 147 nucleotides long. The record is from Rfam. NCBI's taxonomy places the organism in Bacteria, Bacillati, Bacillota.
GAGAACUGUUUUGUCAAGGAAUGGAAUGAGAGAGUAACGUCUUGAAACAUUCCCGAUAAGACUCCGACUUGCGAUGGAUUUGGCAAAAGUCCGUGGUAAGAAGCUCGGUGAAGGCGGCAUUGAAAUAUAUGGCCGGUCGUCCGAAAA